GUUAGAGGAGGUAAUCAAAGUGGGCCUUUGGUACAAGAUGACGUAGGACCCAAGGUGUGGAAAGUGUAUUCUAGAAGGGAGAAAGGGGGAAAAAGGGAAUCUUCUGCUAACUGACUAAUCCCUAACAGAAUGGCAGAUGGCAGAGAGAGAAAGGCUAGAUUGUAUUUAGAUCUUGUAUAAGAAGGACGUUGGAGAGGGGUUGAGGGGUUAUCUAAAUUCAUACCUUCUUUAGAGAAAUGGAUAGGAAGCCAUAAGCUUCCAAUUAGGAGCUUGCUCUUGUCAGAAUUAGGGAUCAUUCCCCUUCUCUGUAAUUCACCCAAGUCAAUCAAUAAAUAAUCUGUUUCCUCUGCUAUUCCUCUGUUUGUUUGCUUGUUUCAUUGUUAGGAAAGAAACGUUUCCUAACAAUUUGGUCCGACCUACCGGAUCAGUCGCCGGAGCUAGUGAAUGCCACCCAGGAAGACCAAGGGUGUAGUCGUUCCAAUGGAAGCCAAGAUCGAUGCGCUGGAGAGUGAGCUGGCUGCUAUGCGCACCACACUCACGGCGGUAACUUCCGCAAUGAAGGACCUACCUACCACACUGGUAGCGAUGGUGGAGAAGGCGGUGGGAAAAUCUGUCGCCAUUGAUGUCGAAUCUGGGGAGAAAACCCCUGAGUCAACCGGAGGAAAAGUGGUGGGUUCGAGCCAACCUGUGCUGCAUGGCGAGGCUCUGAACGAGUUCCGUCACUCGGUAAAGAAGGUAGAGUUACCGAUGUUUGAUGGGAAGGACCCAGCUGGAUGGAUCUCACGCGCUGAGAUCUAUUUCAAGGUGCAGGAGACGUCGCCGGAAGUCAAAGUAAGCUUGGCUCAACUAAGCAUGGAGGGAGGCACCAUCCAUUUUUACAACUCCCUCCUCGAAUUGGAGGAGGAGCUGACGUGGGAUCGAUUCCGCGAUGCGCUACUGGAACGUUACGGCGGCAACGGUGAUGGAGACGUCUACGAGCAGCUUUCCGAUCUCCGUCAGCGAGGCACGGUGGAGGAAUACAUAACGGAUUUUGAGUACUUGACAGCGCAGAUUCCCAAGCUACCGGAAAAGCAGUACCAGGGGUAUUUCUUGCACGGGUUGAAGGAUGAAAUUCGUGGCAAGGUUCGCAGUUUAAUAGCCAUGGGUGGAGUGAAUCGAGCUCGUUUGCUCGUAGUGACGCGAGCGGUGGAGAAGGAGGUUAGGGGUGAUGGGGGAUCGGGUCAGGCUCGAUCUAACCAAAUUGGUGGAACGGGUACAAGAACCGGGUUGGGAGGAUCCAACAGGGCAGGAGGAGCUGAUUGGGUGUGGGUCCGGGGGAAUAAAGAAACAAGCCCAACAAGUGCCAGGCCCAAGUCUAAUCCACCAAGGGCAGAGCAAACAAAAAAUGUUGGAGAGACUCGUCGGGCUGGGCCAAGAGAUCGGGGUUUCAAUCAUUUGUCUUACCCCCAGCUGAUGGAGCGUCGCCAAAAGGGCCUUUGUUUCAAGUGUGGCGGAUCAUACCACCCAAAUCACGUUUGCCCCGAUAGACACCUACGUCUUCUUAUUCUCGAGGAUGAAGAAGAAGAGCUCGAGGAUAGUAAAAUUCUAGCAAUGGAGGUCAAGGAAGAUGGAGAGGACCCGGAAUGCGAGCUUAGUUUGAUGAGUUUGGGAGAUUUUGGAGGGAAAGCUGGUGACAUGCCUCGUACGAUGCGCCUUAGAGGUACCAUAGCUGGGAUUCCGGUGAUGGUACUUGUGGACAGUGGGGCUACCCAUAACUUCGCCGAUUGUCGAGUGGUGCGCAGGAUGGGUUGGGAAACGGUGGAGACUCCAUUGAUGACGGUCAAGCUUGGUGAUGGUUACAAAGCACAAGCCCAGGGUCGCUGUGUUGGGUUGCUACUCAACCUCGGUGGCUAUCAAUUGCAAUGCGCACCUCAGUUGUUUGAUUUGGGGGGUCCUGACAUAGUGCUGGGAAUCGAAUGGUUGAGGACUUUGGGGGAUACACUGGUCAAUUGGGAUGCUCAUAGGAUGAGUUUUUGGAGUAAUCACAAGUGGGUCACGCUGCAAGGGGUUCGUGCGGAAGAUGAGAAAAUGGUCGCUUUGCAGAGUAUUUUAGCACCAGGAGAGAAGGAGCAAGGUUUUCGGGGAGCAAAGAACUUUAAGCAGGCACCCUCGCAACCUCAGGAGAGUUUAACCCCAAGUCAGUUGAAAGAGCUUGAGCAGUUGCUGCAAGCCUUUGAGGAAGUGUUCCAAGAAAAACAGGGUCUACCUCCAAGCAGGGGCAGAGCACAUGGAAUCACGAUCAUGGAGGGGCAAGGACCGGUGAACGUGAGGCCAUAUCGCUAUUCGCAUCAUCAGAAGAAUGAAAUCGAAAAGCAAGUGAAGGAGUUGCUCUCAGCAGGUGUUAUCAGGCAUAGCACAAGCGCUUAUUCAAGCCCGGUUAUUUUGGUUAAAAAGAAAGACCAAACUUGGCGUAUGUGUGUAGAUUAUAGGGCUUUGAAUAGGGUGACUGUGCCCGACAAAUUUCCGAUUCCGGUGAUUGAGGAACUGUUAGAUGAACUCCAUGGUUCAGUUUUCUUCUCCAAGCUGGAUUUAAAGUCAGGGUAUCACCAGGUCUUGGUUAGGGAAGAGGACGUCCACAAAACAGCUUUUCGUACUCACGAAGGACACUAUGAAUACUUGGUCAUGCCUUUCGGUUUGAUGAAUGCCCCUUCGACGUUUCAGAGUCUCAUGAAUGAGGUGUUUCGACCUAUGCUAAGGAAGGGGGUGCUGGUGUUUUUUGACGACAUUUUAGUUUAUAGCAAAACCUGGGAGGCACACUUGCUGCAAUUGGAGAAGGUCUUGAGUCUCUUACAGCAGCACUGCUUGACUGUAAAUAAGAAGAAAUGUCACUUUGCUACAAAAUCAGUGGAGUAUUUGGGGCACCUCAUUUCUGAGCAGGGAGUGGCUGUUGAUCCCAACAAGGUCCUUAGUGUGCAAGCGUGGCCAGUCCCCAAGAAUGUGAAGGGAGUUCGUGGAUUCUUAGGACUAACGGGGUAUUACCGCAAGUUUAUUCAGAACUAUGGGAAGAUCGCGAAGCCAUUAACAGAGCUUACCAAGAAGGAAGCUUUCAAGUGGGGGGCACAGGCUCAGGAGGCUUUUGAUAUCCUCAAGCAAAAGUUGACUUCUGCUCCCGUCCUGGUUUUGCCUGAUUUUUCUCAGGAAUUUCGCUUGGAAUGUGAUGCAUCUGGAACGGGAAUUGGGGCGAUUUUACUGCAAGGAAAUCAUCCUAUAGCUUACUUCAGUAAGGCAUUAGGACCAAGGAAUUUGGCUAAGUCUGCCUAGGAAAAAGAGCUGAUGGCUGUUGCUUUAGCGAUUCAACACUGGAGGCCAUAUUUGUUGGGUCGUAAAUUUGUGGUAUCUACAGAUCAAAGGAGCCUUAAGGAGUUCUUACACCAGAAAAUUGUGACAGGGGAUCAACAAAACUGGGCUGCAAAGCUUCUAGGGUACAACUUCGAUAUCGUGUACAAGCCUGGGAAAAGCAACCGUGGGGCAGAUGCUUUAUCUCGCAGGGAAGAAACAGGGGAACUUUGUCCUCUAAUUUCGUAUCCUCGAUGGGAAGAGCAGGGGGUGGUGCAUGACGAGGUUCAACGUGAUCCUAAGUUGAAGGCUAUAAUUGAAGCAUUGGCUCACAAUCCUCAAGCACAUCCAGGGUACAGUUUUAUUCGAGGGGCCCUGUUUUACCAUAAUCGCCUUGUCCUGUCCAGAACUUCUUCUUUAAUUCCUCAAAUGUUACAAGAGUUUCAUACAUCUCCUCACGGGGGUCAUUCUGGUUUCUUGCGUACCUAUAGGCGCAUAGCUGCUAACAUCUACUGGCGUGGCAUGACUCGCACGAUUCAGGAGUUUGUGCAUGCUUGUGAUGUGUGCCAGCGUCAUAAGUACUUAGCGGCGUCUCCGGCGGGUCUUCUUCAGCCGUUACCCAUUCCGGAGCGAGUGUGGGAGGAUGUCUCGCUGGAUUUCAUCACUGGGCUUCCGCGAUCCAAAGGCUUUGAGGCCAUCUUCGUGGUGGUUGAUCGACUCACCAAGUACGCGCAUUUCAUUCCCCUUCGUCAUCCUUAUACCGCGCGGAGUGUAGCUGAGCAAUUUGCCAGGGAAAUCGUUCGUUUGCACGGCGUUCCCUCGUCAAUUGUAAGUGAUCGCGAUCCAUUGUUUGUGAGUCAUUUCUGGAAGGAGCUUUUCCGUUUACAGGGGACACAGCUCAAGAUGAGCUCAGCUUAUCAUCCCGAGUCGGAUGGACAAACGGAAGUUGUUAAUCGUUGCUUGGAGACUUAUCUUCGUUGUUUCGCUGCCGAUCAGCCUCGUUCUUGGGCCAAUUGGUUACACUGGGCUGAGUAUUGGUUCAACACCUCUUUCCACUCAGCUAUCCAACAAACUCCAUUCGAGGCGGUGUAUGGCCGCAAGCCACCAGUAUUGACACGAUGGGCUAUUGGAGAGACACGCGUGCAAGCAGUAGCGCAGGAUUUGCAAGACAGGGAUGAGGCUCUUCGUCAGCUCAAACAACAUCUCCUUCUCGCGCAAGAUCGUAUGCGUGCCCAAGCUAAUUCGAAACGCAGAGCAUCGGAGUUUGAGGUGGGGGAAUGGGUCUUUGUGAAGCUUCGUGCUCAUCGCCAGUUAUCUCUAGCAAAUCGCGUCCACGCGAAGCUUGCAGCACGUUAUUUUGGGCCUUAUCCUAUCAUAGCUCGUGUUGGGGCAGUCGCGUACCGUUUGAAGCUUCCUGAGAAUGCACGCAUUCACCCUGUUUUUCACAUUUCCCUGCUCAAGAAGGCAGUAGGUACUUAUGCAGAGGAGACUGAAUUACCAGAGCAGCUGGACGGAGAAGAGUUGUCUUCAAUCCAACCUUUUGUGGUUUUGGCUCAUAGGGACAUUCCUCGGCAAGGUGAGACCAUUCCUCAAGUUCUCAUUCAGUGGUAUGGCAAGACUUCAGAGGAAGCAACUUGGGAAGAUUGUGCAACUAUUCGUAGUGAGUUCCCUGACUUCAACCUUGAGGACAAGGUUGUGUCUUCUGGAGGGAGUAUUGUUAGAGGAGGUAAUCAAAGUGGGCCUUUGGUACAAGAUGACGUAGGACCCAAGGUGUGGAAAGUGUAUUCUAGAAGGGAGAAAGGGGGAAAAAGGGAAUCUUCUGCUAACUGACUAAUCCCUAACAGAAUGGCAGAUGGCAGAGAGAGAAAGGCUAGAUUGUAUUUAGAUCUUGUAUAAGAAGGACGUUGGAGAGGGGUUGAGGGGUUAUCUAAAUUCAUACCUUCUUUAGAGAAAUGGAUAGGAAGCCAUAAGCUUCCUAUUAGGAGCUUGCUCUUGUCAGAAUUAGGGAUCAUUCCCCUUCUCUGUAAUUCACCCAAGUCAAUCAAUAAAUAAUCUGUUUCCUCUGCUAUUCCUCUGUUUGUUUGCUUGUUUCAUUGUUAGGAAAGAAACGUUUCCUAACACAAACACUCAUCUAUAAUGCAGUAUUGUGGACCACUCAUUUAGGAGGGGGUUCGGUAUGGAAAAAUGAUAAUAAGUGUUUGAUUCAAAGAAGGGGAAUGACUUUAACAGAGGAU
Molecule: long non-coding RNA, 5549 nt
Filed under: Lotus japonicus
Lineage: Eukaryota; Viridiplantae; Streptophyta; Magnoliopsida; Fabales; Fabaceae
Description: long non-coding RNA (LJAP_LNC001501)
Source: RNAcentral